RNAcentral lists this transfer RNA (70 nucleotides) under Pygoscelis antarcticus (chinstrap penguin). RNAcentral describes it as "tRNA-Pro". Lineage: Eukaryota; Metazoa; Chordata; Aves; Sphenisciformes; Spheniscidae. The record is from RNAcentral.
UCAGAGAAAGAGGACUUAAACCUCUAUACCCAACUCCCAAAGCUGGCAUUUUACAUUAAACUAUUCUCUG